AGUAUAAUAUAAUCAAAACUGUUUGAAUAAGCCUAUAUAUGUUUGGAAUUAUAAAACAAAUCUGAACAGUAUAUAUAGGUAGGUCAUAGGUUGAGGAGGUGAAUAAAAUGAGAGAAAAGGAGGGGAAACUCUACCAUAUUAUUUUAUAAAAUAAUGUGCUGUUUGAUUUUUUUUCAAAAAGCAAAUAUUACUUUGAUAAUAAUUAAAGAAAACUGAAAACCACACAUAGUUCGACCUUCUUCUUCUAAAGAUGAAGAAACUAAAACUAGAAAUUCUUUUUUUCUUUUUGCAAAGCAAAAGCAAGUUUAUUAAGAAAGUGAAGGGAUAAAGAAUGAUCCCCCAUAGGGAGAGCAGCAACUUGGGCCACUAGGCUGAUUAUACUGACUGUUACUUCUUGGUUAUAUACUUAACAAAAGGUAGAUUACUCAUGAGCUUUCUGGGAAAGAAGUGUGCCAUUCCCAAAACAGGAAAACUCAGAGAAAUUCUUGAAUCAUAGAAAUUAAUAACCGAAUGACAAUUUAGGGAUCAUUAAGCCCACCCUCCUUAUAUUACAGAUAAGGAAACUGAAGCACAGAGAAGCAAAGCAAGCUAUAGUUCCUAAGACCAAAGCCUGGAGAGAAAAGAAGUUGAACACAUUGAUGCGGGGAAAAUGCAGGUUCUCAGCAUAUGCUGUGAGAUCUAUGAACGCUGACUCACUCAUUUUGGAUGAGGGUCACCUUUGAGCAGAUUGGCUAUGUCUCCCCCGCUCUGGCUCUCCAUGCCAUCUCCAAAUGAGAAGUUGGCAUUUCACAUGGAAGGAAAAUAGAAGCUGAAGUCAAUAAACCACAACAUCUGGAACUGGAGGAAAGAUUUCACUGGAAAGAACUUGACAAACUCUGAAAACAAAGUUCUAGACUUUACUAAUUUAUUUUGGCUGCAAAGCCGAGCUCAAUGCAAAGCUCAAAGAGGAUUUGUCCGAGGCUCUUUUCAAAGAAGUAAAAAGCCAACCCGCACUAAAAUUAAUGCAUCGACUGCAUAAACAGUAGAGAUAGUUAUCUGAUACUGAGGGAAUAGAGCCACACUAGGCCUUUUUGUUAUUUAUGGGAUUAUUAUUGGAGGAAACAGAAGCAAUUAGAUAUCCCCUGCUUUCAGAGCAGGGGAAGGAAAAAAGGUGUCAAACAUAGUUUUUCAAUUUGGUCUCUUGAUCAUUUCAUUCUCGCUACAUCUUAAAAUCCAAAUAUACACAUUCCUCCAGUGCCCCACUGGUCUCUUAGUGUUCCUUUAAAUAUUUGUCCUUCGUGAAAACUCCGUGAAUUCUGAAU
RNAcentral lists this long non-coding RNA (1301 nucleotides) under Callithrix jacchus (white-tufted-ear marmoset). RNAcentral's name for it is "lncRNA (ENSCJAG00000074873.1)". Lineage: Eukaryota; Metazoa; Chordata; Mammalia; Primates; Cebidae. The record is from RNAcentral.